GUCCAAAACUCCUUUUGUCCUAGGUCCGGGCUUGUCAUUAAUAUACUCGUUGUUGUGUUAACUGAAGUUUGUAUUCACAGCCAUCAAUUUCAAUGAGGGAUGCUGAGCUUCCAGAUGAGCUUCAACCUUGAAGUCAAUUUACCUUCUCUCUGCAGUUUCUCUCUUCAUGCUCCAGACUGCUCCAAAACUCUGAAAUGCCUACCUAGCAGGUAGAAGAACUCAAACUUUGGCAAGGGAAUAAUCCUGGGAUCAAGGAGGUACCUUUGCUGCUCCCAUGAAAAUCCAUUCAGAUAUGACUCGAUUUUGACUUGUCAAAAAAUCCUUAUUCCCCUUCGGGGUUUUCCUCAGCAGAGCUUGCUAGAGGAUUGCUUCUAAAAGCCCAAUAUUGUCUGUGCACUGACCAUGCUUUUGCUUCCACAUGGCGCACACAACUGAACAUCUGC
Molecule: long non-coding RNA, 443 nt
Organism: Mauremys reevesii (Reeves's turtle)
Lineage: Eukaryota; Metazoa; Chordata; Testudines; Geoemydidae
Exons: 3
Source: RefSeq, a predicted model, not a curated record